UGGGGAAUUUUGGACAAUGGGCGAAAGCCUGAUCCAGCAAUGCCGCGUGUGUGAAGAAGGCCUUCGGGUUGUAAAGCACUUUUGUCCGGAAAGAAAUCCUUGGCUCUAAUACAGUCGGGGGAUGACGGUACCGGAAGAAUAAGCACCGGCUAACUACGUGCCAGCAGCCGCGGUAAUACGUAGGGUGCAAGCGUUAAUCGGAAUUACUGGGCGUAAAGCGUGCGCAGGCGGUUCGCUAAGACCGAUGUGAAAUCCCCGGGCUCAACCUGGGAACUGCAUUGGUGACUGGCAGGCUAGAGUAUGGCAGAGGGGGGUAGAAUUCCACGUGUAGCAGUGAAAUGCGUAGAGAUGUGGAGGAAUACCGAUGGCGAAGGCAGCCCCCUGGGCCAAUACUGACGCUCAUGCACGAAAGCGUGGGGAGCAAACAGGAUUAGAUACCCUGGUAGUCCACGCCCUAAACGAUGUCAACUAGUUGUUGGGGAUUCAUUCCUUAGUAACGUAGCUAACGCGUGAAGUUGACCGCCUGGGGAGUACGUCGCAAGAUUAAAACUCAAAUGAAUUGACGGGGUCAUAGCUGUUUCCU
RNAcentral lists this ribosomal RNA (583 nucleotides) under uncultured bacterium. RNAcentral's name for it is "partial 16S ribosomal RNA". It matches the Rfam family "Bacterial small subunit ribosomal RNA", at positions 355 to 1375 of the family's 1533-position model. The record is from RNAcentral.